Molecule: ribosomal RNA, 253 nt
Filed under: uncultured bacterium
Lineage: Bacteria
Description: partial 16S ribosomal RNA
Rfam family: Bacterial small subunit ribosomal RNA
Source: RNAcentral
CACGGGGGGAGCAAGCGUUGUUCGGAAUCACUGGGCGUAAAGGGCGUGUAGGCGGUCAGGUAAGUGGGAUGUGAAAUGCCCCGGCUCACCCGGGGACCGGCAUCCCAUACUGCUUGGCUUGAGUACGGGAGAGGAUGUGGGAAUUCCUGGUGUAGCGGUGAAAUGCGUAGAUAUCAGGAGGAACACCGGUGGCGAAGGCGCACAUCUGGCUCGAUACUGACGCUGAGGCGCGAAAGCUAGGGGAGCAAACGGG